This 253-nucleotide ribosomal RNA is filed under the name uncultured bacterium. Its description in RNAcentral is "partial 16S ribosomal RNA". It matches the Rfam family "Bacterial small subunit ribosomal RNA", at positions 524 to 776 of the family's 1533-position model. The record is from RNAcentral.
UACGAAGGGGACUAGCGUUGUUCGGAAUUACUGGGCGUAAAGCGCACGUAGGCGGAUUCGUAAGUCAGGGGUGAAAUCCCGGGGCUCAACCUCGGAACUGCCUUUGAUACUGCGGAUCUCGAGCCCGAUAGAGGUGGGUGGAAUUCCUAGUGUAGAGGUGAAAUUCGUAGAUAUUAGGAAGAACACCGGUGGCGAAGGCGGCCCACUGGAUCGGUACUGACGCUGAGGUGCGAAAGCGUGGGGAGCAAACAGG